AUGAACGCUGGCGGCGUGCCUCAUCCCUGCAAGUCGAGCGAACGGACGAGAAGCUUGCUUCUCUGAUGUUAGCGGCGGACGGGUGAGUAACACGUGGAUAACCUACCUAUAAGACUGGGAUAACUUCGGGAAACCGGAGCUAAUACCGGCUAAUAUUUUGAACCGCAUGGUUCAAAAGUGAAAGACGGUCUUGCUGUCACUUAUAGAUGGAUCCGCGCUGCAUUAGCUAGUUGGUAAGGUAACGGCUUACCAAGGCAACGAUGCAUAGCCGACCUGAGAGGGUGAUCGGCCACACUGGAACUGAGACACGGUCCAGACUCCUACGGGAGGCAGCAGUAGGGAAUCUUCCGCAAUGGGCGAAAGCCUGACGGAGCAACGCCGCGUGAGUGAUGAAGGUCUUCGGAUCGUAAAACUCUGUUAUUAGGGAAGAACAUAUGUGUAAGUAACUGUGCACAUCUUGACGGUACCUAAUCAGAAAGCCACGGCUAACUACGUG
This 496-nucleotide ribosomal RNA is filed under the name uncultured bacterium. Its description in RNAcentral is "partial 16S ribosomal RNA". It matches the Rfam family "Bacterial small subunit ribosomal RNA", at positions 29 to 507 of the family's 1533-position model. The record is from RNAcentral.